Long non-coding RNA from Dreissena polymorpha, 745 nucleotides. RefSeq lists it as uncharacterized. The transcript is spliced from 3 exons. The record is from RefSeq and is a predicted model, not a curated record. NCBI's taxonomy places the organism in Eukaryota, Metazoa, Mollusca, Bivalvia, Myida, Dreissenidae.
UUGAUCAUGACUCGCAGAUGACCCCUAUUGAUUUUGUGGUCACUAGGUCAAAGGUCAAGGUCACGGUGACCCGAAAUAGUAAAAUGGUUUUUGAAUGAUAACUCAAGAACACAUACGCCUAGGAUCAUGAAACUUCAUGGGUAGAUUGAUCAUGACCUGCAGAUGACCCCUAUUGAUUUUGAGGUCACUAGGUCAAAGGUCAAGGUCACGGUGACCCGAAAUAGUAAAAUGGUUUCCGGAUGAUAACUCAAGAGCGCAUACGCCUAGGAUCAUGAAACUUCAUGGGUAGAUUGAUCAUGACUCGCAGAUGACCCCUAUUGAUUUUGAGGUCACUAGGUCAAAGGUGAAGGUCACGGUGACCCCAAAUAGUAAAAUGGUUUUCGGAUGAUAUCUCAAGAACGCAUAUGCCUAGGAUCAUGAAACUUCAUCGGUACAUUGAUCAUGACUCGCAGAUGACCCCUAUUGAUUUUGAGGUCACUAGGUCAAAGGUCAAGGUCACGGUGACCAGAAAUAGUAAAAUGGUUUUUGAAUAAUAACUCAAGAACGCAUACGCCUAGGAUCAUGAAACUUCAUGGGUAGAUUGAUCAUGACUUGCAGAUGACCCCUAUUGAUUUUGAGGUCACUAGGUCAAAGGUCAAGGUCACGGUGACCCGAAAUAGUAAAAUGGUUUCCGGAUGAUAACUCAAGAAAGCAUACGCCUAGGAUCAUGAAACUUCAUAGGUAGAUUGAUCAUGACUUUGCAGAU